This 1382-nucleotide long non-coding RNA is filed under the name Elaeis guineensis (African oil palm). RNAcentral describes it as "long non-coding RNA (EGUI_LNC045030)". Lineage: Eukaryota; Viridiplantae; Streptophyta; Magnoliopsida; Arecales; Arecaceae. The record is from RNAcentral.
UGUGUAGGGUUUAUACAUGUUAAUUAAUUAGAUUAAUUAAUAAUUUUCACUGUAAAAUAGUGAUUUUGAAAAAGUUUUAAAAUUACUGUUUUACCCCUGCACUAAAAUUCACUUCACAAAGAAGGGGCAUGAAAAAUUUGAGAGGGGGGGGCGUCCAAGCAUGAGAAAUUGAGGAAGAACUCUUCGUCUUGGGCGUGAGGUCUAGGGUGGGUUCUAGGAUUUCUGAUUGCUCUAGUUUUAUGUGAGAAAAUCAUAAGAGAGUCUUGCUUUCUUUCUUCCACACCACCUCCUCCACAAUAAGCUCUAUCUUUUGAUUUGGAGAUAUCCGGGUGAUCAGAAGGAAGGAGUCUUAUCAUCCAUUCAGAGCCUUCUACUCAAGCUAGCACUCUCAGAAAGGAUGAUCUGUUCAAGGCUUCGAGUGAACUACCUGUAGAGGCCGGACGAUCUAUAUGACUGAUUGACAUCAGGAAGGACCUUAUACCAUAUUCAUCAGUAGCGACGAUCAUCGACCCACGAUAAGAUAAUGAAUUUUGAACUAAUCUGAUUAGAUCUAACGGCUAGAUCUGAUUCAAGACAUCGAUAUGAUCGUUGCAAUAUUUUCUUUUAUAUCGGAUUUUUUUAUGUGAAUAUUUCAUAUCAUAGAUCCUUAGAAAGAUAGUUUAGAUCAGAUCUAAAGUAUGUGUAGGAGAUUAUAUUGUUUAUUAUUUUUGCUAUAAAAAUUUUAAAAAUGCAUGCUUUGAACUAUCCAUUUUUCCUUCAUCUGUGAGAUCUAAGAGGGAACCAUAUCAGCCAUCAAAGAGGAGAUCUUUGUAAGGGAGCUAGCACCCCAAGAAGAUCAUCCCACCUCUGAUCGAAAUGAGUCCUCAUAUGGAUACCUGUGGAGGCAAAGCACGUGCGUGGCUAAAAGAACCAUUCAGAUCCAUGAUCAUCGCCUGUGAUAUAGUUCGACCCGCAUAAAGUAUUCAGAUUCGAUCUUAAUUAGUUAUUUAUUUUAUUUUUAGAUUAUAUGUAUGUCUUAGAUUUGGACAUGGAUAGUUAAUAGAUAUGAUCUAUCACAUGUGGGGUUAAAGGGUUUAACCUAGAUCUGCUUUCGCUGUUGAUUCAAAAUUGAUUUUGAAAUCUAUGCAUGCAAUCCUAUCCACUUUCUAACUUUCCAUACUCAUGAACAUAUUUGGGGUGUAGGAUGAUCGAACGAUUGAAUUGCAUAGUAACUUACCACUGAAGGAUAUAUUUGAUAUUUUUAUCAAAUUCUAUAACUUUUGGAUAGUCAUGAUACAUUGCUAGACGUCAAUCUUGAUUUGUAGAUUUUAUUGAAUUAAAAAAUUAAUUCAAUCUCUAAUUAAAAGAAUUCUAAUUAUUGAACUCAGAUUAACACAGUUUGG